Molecule: unclassified non-coding RNA, 341 nt
Filed under: Hevea brasiliensis (rubber tree)
Lineage: Eukaryota; Viridiplantae; Streptophyta; Magnoliopsida; Malpighiales; Euphorbiaceae
Source: RNAcentral
AAAAGGGCAAAACCACUAAUCCAGAAACAUAACUACAGAAAUAGAGCCAAAAAGGAAAGGAGGAAAGACGGUGAGAGGGAACCCAAAACAAGGAAGAGGGCGAUGGUUUUGAGAUGUGUGGGUGUUGGAUAUGGAAGUAUCUACAAUUGACAAUUCUUGGUGGUGGUGGUUUGAUAGGAAUCUGGUGACUACUACAACAUUUCUAGUGACUUUCUUUCACAUUGACAUCAGAUUCUGGUAGAUUGGAGCUAUUGACAUCAGAUUCUGGUAGACUGGAGCUUUUGACAUCAGAUUCUGGUAGAUUGGAGCUAUUGACAUCAGAUUCUGGUAGACUGGAGCUU